UUGUUUGUUUUUGUUUUUUACAUUCAUCAACAAAGUAGUGUAGGUCCGGAGACACAGUUCACAUUGUCAUGGGUAUAAGAACCAAUAAUGAUCCUUCCGCAGGUUCACCUACGGAAA
Molecule: unclassified non-coding RNA, 117 nt
Filed under: uncultured fungus
Lineage: Eukaryota; Fungi
Description: sequence contains ITS1
Source: RNAcentral